Molecule: long non-coding RNA, 1627 nt
Organism: Frieseomelitta varia
Lineage: Eukaryota; Metazoa; Arthropoda; Insecta; Hymenoptera; Apidae
Exons: 6
Source: RefSeq, a predicted model, not a curated record
CAAGCGCAAUGGAGGUAGAAAAGAGAGACGGCGCGACCAGGAGCGCCGUCCUCGGAACAAGAAAGCUGCCUGCUUGCCUGCCUGCCGCCUGCUUGCUAGCCAGCCACCCCAAGUUCCCUUCUAGAUUUCCAAACGAUCCGGACACGUUGAGUUUCAUUACCUUGGUUUGCUCGAUGAUUAUACGCAUAACAAGUCUGAGAUGAGAGCCGAGGUGUUAACAUCGUCUUUACAAAGAGAACGAGAGAGUCGUUGACUGCAAAACAAAAAGAGUGAGCAAGUGCAUAGAAGUAAUGUAGUGACCAAGAUAUGGCGGCUAGCUAAUUAAAGCUGCGCAAGAACGCGAUAAGCAAGGGCAAACGCGCACGAAGUCGCAGCGCACGCGACUAAAGAUACGGGAGAACGAUGAGGCCACUGAUUCGUGUUUCUCAUUAUGCGGGCCGUCCAUCGCGGACACGGCAACGUCGAAAGCAGGGCGUGGCGCGUUCCUCAUGGAUCUAAAUCGAAUGGUACAUCGGGAUUCGCUUCAAAAUUUAUCAAAUGUCGUUUCGACGAUUGUAUCGUUUUCGGCAAUUAAUAGAAAUACCGCACGUUUAUUUUGUAUCUAACGAGCCGAAUUGGUAGCUGUAAGUAAAAUCACAUGGUCAAAAUCUGGAGAAUUUACAAUCUUGAGAUAUCGUGAAAUAGAAAGUUACACUAACCUCUUAAGUGGGAAGAUCGGAUGUACAUAUGCAUGCUAAAUUAGACUGAGCAAUACUGUCACUUAAACAUAUGUAUCAAGUUUAUCAGUUCAGUUUAAGUAGUUUUACAAUGAUACAAAGUUUAUGAAGAUCAUAAUUCAUUAGUUAUGGAACAAUUCACACGGAUUUUUGCAAGAAUAACGGAUGUACCUAUUAAAUGAGAUGAUAAAAAAAAGAAGGAAAAUGUUCGAUGUAUAUAUAGCUAUUGAAGAUUAUCGAUCCUGAAUAUCAUAAAAUCGAUUGAAACAUGAUAGUAGAUUCUGUAACCGUGAAGCAAUAAGCGCGGCAACGUUGCAUGGAAUUGCUAUUUAUCAAAAGCAAUCAGUGUGUUACACGAAUACGAAAAUCGAUACAUCUCGCAUCGACUUUUCAAUCCACCUUUGUCACUUAUCGAUUAAUGACAGUAGGAAAUCGAAUAUCGAUUGAUUCAUGGAAGCCAUUUUCAUUUUUUCGAGUCAGUUUGUCGCGACGUUUCUAACUGGUGACUGCUCAUUUUGACCGAUUGAUCAAAUGCAUAUUGAAAAACGAUGACAUUAGAAAAGUGACAUUUCGUGACGAAUUAUUUGUAUACGAAACUAUGGUAGAAUAUGCAUUUGAGUAGUUUCGGUGCGCGCACGCGUUUCUUCGAGAGAGACCGGGAGAACCGAGUUCGAGCAGUCACUUGGUGGAAAAAGUGACCAUUUAAUAACUCAGGAUCGAAUUACGAUAUCGAGGUUAGCGUAUCGGGAGACAUUUUUGAACCCAAUUCGGAAAUUAAAAGCGUGGUUAAUCACGUUCAUCUGCAAUAUCUGCCAUCUUUUAUUACCGUUAUUCGUUUCUAACGUGCUAUUGGUGGAAUUUUCAUUUAUUUUUCAAACGUAACUACGAAAUGAGAAGCGGAUUCAAAUUAU